Molecule: ribosomal RNA, 320 nt
Filed under: uncultured eukaryote
Lineage: Eukaryota
Description: partial 18S ribosomal RNA
Rfam family: Eukaryotic small subunit ribosomal RNA
Source: RNAcentral
CCCUUAGAUGUUCUGGGCUGCACGCGUGCUACAAUGGCGCUUGCAACAAGUCUUGCCAACCCGAUAGGGUGAGCGGAUCUUUGAAGAGGCGUCGUGAUCGGGACAGUUGAUUGCAAUUAUUCGACUCGAACGAGGAAUUCCUUGUAAUCGCGAUUCAUCAUAUCGCGCUGGAUACGUCCCUGCCCUUUGUACACACCGCCCGUCGCUCCUACCGAUUGAGCGAUCCGGUGAAUGUUUUGGACUGGCGUCAGAAGCGGUUCGCUCCUGACACUACGAAAUUUUGUAAACCUUAUCGCUUAGAGGAAGGAAAAGUCGUAACA